AGAAAACACCCCCGAAUGAAAUGCAGCAAACAAAAAAGAAAACACCCCCGAAUGAAAUGCAGCAAACAAAAAGUGUUGAAAACGGAAGUGCUCCAGACCACUAGGGGGAGUCAAAGAAAAUAGUAUUCAUUUCUAUGGGACCAGAUGCAAGAUUCAGAGAAAGAUAUUUGAAAGAAAGUAAAGGUGGCCAUGUUUUGCUGUUUCUGUGGACAAAAUCUAGGAACAAUUCAAGUUUUCUGUUUUUCAUGUGGGAAGAAUGUGCAGAUCUUGGCACAAGCUCAAGACACUGAUUCAAGGAUGGCCUUUCAACACUGAACUUCCAGAAUGCUUUGGAGCAGCAUGCUUCCAUCUUCAGGCCAUUUAUGCGUGCAAGAGUGGAACAGCUGACAUCCAAAAUAUUGGAGGAAAUAUUUGAGGUUCAGCUCAGUGAAAAGGGUAGCAGCAGACGACAUGAGGAAACAAGAGUGCUAGGAUUCUGGAGAGACCUUCUCCUUGACGCAGAAGGAGGACUUUAAGAUUUAUUGCUAUAUUCUGGUGUUAUUGUAAUAUCUGAUACAUAAACUCAUUGCUUCUUUUCUAGAACAAAAAACGGGUUUCUUUCUCCAGGACGUCCUGAUGUUUGCCACCGGCUUGAACACACUACCUCCAUCUUCAAUUCUGCCACCACCAAAACUGAUCUUUCAGGCCACUUCUCGUUUUCCUGUCAGUAGCACCUGCUCCAACACUAUCAAAAUACCAAUGUCCAAGACGUAUCAUCAGUUUAAAGAAGACAUGGACUUUGGGAUUCAAAACUCCCCUGGGUUUGGGCUUUAUUAAGGUCAAAUGCAAAACAAAACAAAAUGCUAUCUAUUUAACUUGUCAAACCUGUUCAGUUAUGACACUGUUUACUGUUUGUGUGCGACCUUCAAAUUUGGAUUCUUGUUUGUUUAUAAGUCCACCAUGUUUUUCAGUUUAAUAUAGUUUUCGACACAUGAUUCCCAACUCUGUGGAUGUGCUAGGCCACACUGUCUCUGGAGGUUCUCAAAAUGUGCCUGAAGGUGUUCAUCUCCACAUUGAAUGUUGUUAGUCUCUGUCACAAACUGUCCGAAUGGCUCCUGGGAAACUAGGAAACCACAGUCUGUUCCACCAAACCUAGGAAUAGAAGAAAUACAGGAAACAUUUAGUUAUAUUUACAUUUCUUCACUAAACUGUUACUGCUCUGACUAUUGUUAUAACCUGUCUAAAUGAUUAAUUGUAUUUAAAUUUACAUUUUAGAAAUUGUCAUCUGAAAUUGUUAGAAUAAAAAGUGACAUACUGUUAA
Cyprinodon tularosa is the source of this 1300-nucleotide long non-coding RNA. RefSeq lists it as uncharacterized. The transcript is spliced from 3 exons. The record is from RefSeq and is a predicted model, not a curated record. Lineage: Eukaryota; Metazoa; Chordata; Actinopteri; Cyprinodontiformes; Cyprinodontidae.